AAAAUCAAAUUCUUGUAGAUAAACCAUAUAAUCAUUUGGAAUGGCAGAUCUUCUUUCUCUUUGAGAUCUCCUUAAUGUCAUCCCUUGUGGUUCUUCUACAACUUGUUCAGUGGUGAUAACUUCAUUAUGGAGUGUUUGAUCAUUAAUUUGUUGUUCAUUGUUAUUAAACUGUGUGACAACUGUAGGAACAACAAUUUUCUUAGAAGUCAUGGGUAAAGGGACUUGCACCCUAA
RNAcentral lists this long non-coding RNA (233 nucleotides) under Phoenix dactylifera (date palm). RNAcentral's name for it is "long non-coding RNA (PDAC_LNC006918)". The record is from RNAcentral. Lineage: Eukaryota; Viridiplantae; Streptophyta; Magnoliopsida; Arecales; Arecaceae.